CGCGUAGGCGGUUUGCUAAGUUGAAUGUGAAAACUCUGGGCUUAGCCCGGAGCCUGCAUUCAAUACUGGCAGGCUAGAGUUCUGGAGGGGAUAGCGGAAUUCCUGGUGUAGCGGUGAAAUGCGUAGAUAUCAGGAGGAACACCGGUGGCGAAGGCGGCUAUCUGGACAGAGUCUGACGCUGAGGCGCGAAAGGCUAGGGAGCAAACA
This 207-nucleotide ribosomal RNA is filed under the name uncultured bacterium. Its description in RNAcentral is "partial 16S ribosomal RNA". It matches the Rfam family "Bacterial small subunit ribosomal RNA", at positions 568 to 774 of the family's 1533-position model. The record is from RNAcentral.